UACGUAGGUGGCAAGCGUUGUCCGGAUUUACUGGGCGUAAAGGGAGCGUAGGCGGACUUUUAAGUGAGAUGUGAAAUACUCGGGCUCAACUUGAGUGCUGCAUUUCAAACUGGAAGUCUAGAGUGCAGGAGAGGAGAAUGGAAUUCCUAGUGUAGCGGUGAAAUGCGUAGAGAUUAGGAAGAACACCAGUGGCGAAGGCGAUUCUCUGGACUGUAACUGACGCUGAGGCUCGAAGGCGUGGGGAGCAAACAGG
This 253-nucleotide ribosomal RNA is filed under the name uncultured bacterium. Its description in RNAcentral is "partial 16S ribosomal RNA". It matches the Rfam family "Bacterial small subunit ribosomal RNA", at positions 524 to 776 of the family's 1533-position model. The record is from RNAcentral.